GUUUACCUUGUCCCAGGAGGCUUUGCUGCUAGCCCUUAGUCAUGUGAUCUGGAGGGAAUGGGAGAAAUCAGCACAGGUCUAAGAUGGAAAUUAAAUCUCCUAAAGGUGUAGUUUGCCCUCUGACAGGGUGUUCAUUUUUAAGCCCUGUACUGGGAGGUCCUUCUUGAGUGCAGCCAGAAAGAAGUUUUAUGAGCUGCAGGCCUGCAUGCUUGAUGCCUUGCCUAUGCAAACGAGGAUGAAAUUCACAAGGAAAGAGGCCAACUGCAUUUUAUUAACAGAGCUAUUUUCUUCUUGUCAUGAUAAGCAUUGGAAACUCCAUGCUCGUCUCCCACCAAAUCCAGACUGCCUUUGAGACAGGUGAGAGAGCUGCCUGUACCAACACCAGGGGAAACGCUUCAGAGUGCAUCCCAGAUAUCUGAAGCAAUGGGAUGAAGAGACAAGGAAGAAGUACCCUCUCCAGUGGCGGCCUGCUUUCCACUCACCUGUUUUCAUGGCCCCGCCUCUUAUGUAAAUGACUCAAUGGUGACAGUUUGACCAACAGAAUCUAAUCAGCAUCUGGAGAGAAUCACUGUGCUCCCUCAUUAUCUCCUUAGGAUGCUGCUGAGGGACACAGACAGAAACCUCUGCCCUCACAUGGCAGGAUCCUGUUGAGGGGCACUGCAGCCCAGACCCUGCUGACUGGAUCCAGGUGGUGGGACCCACCUAUGCAGGACGUGAGGUGGUACCAUCAGAAGCUGCAUACCAUGGUAUCCAGGCCCUCUUUCACGUCAUGAUGUGGAGGAUGACGUGCUGCUGCUGAUGACUUACAGGAUCCACAAUGAGUAUCUCUGUGGAAAAAUACAGCAGACAGAAAAUCAUGUCCUGAGGACUCCCAGAGGAGGAGAAACAGCAGCUGGAGCAGUGUCUCUUCCAUGCCUCCUCAGCCAAAGACGCUGAUGAAGUCUGCUGGAUGAACUUUGACCCAUGCCUCUUGGAUCAGCAGGGUUCUGAGUUUUGCCAGGGGAGCUAUUUCUCAGUGGAUGCCACUGAUUCUCACACCUUCACAGCUGCAAGCAAGGGUGGAGCGUGCUACAUGUUCCUGGCUAACGUCUUGGUGGGUGAGUCAGUGUGUGGGAAGGAACACUACCAUCAGGUAGGCCCCAGAACAGGCUCCUGGCAGGCCACGCUACGACUCGUGCAACAACAGGAAACCCUGUUCACAACCCAAAAGCCAUCUGAGCAUCUACGUGACCUUCCACAGCUAUCAGUGCUAUCCAUAUUUCCUGAUCUACUACAGAAUGCUCUCAGAUCCUAUGAGGCUGGAUGGCUGAUGGCACUGGAGGAGUGGCCAUGUCAUACAUAAGAGGAACCCUGUCCAGUUCUUAGCAGCUUUGCUGAUCAGAGGUCCUGCCCCCAGGGAGGGUCUGCUUUCUGUCUUUCCAAUCUUCACAUCACUGUAAAAUACUCCUGACAUCCCACGCAUAUGCACCAAGUGUGUGCGUCCCCUGUUCUGUUGCAUGCAAAAACCAGCCCAGCUCAUUCUCUGAGAGUCCCAUCCUCCACCUUCCUUCAUCUCCCUUCUUACUGUUGUUGCUUCCAUUGGCAUCAUGGGUGGAUACCUGUAGAAUCCCGCAAGAAUGGGCCCCCAAACCCAGUUAGAUGCUGUUCCCUUAGACAGUUAGAAGGGGGCACUGUUCAGUAAGAAGUGUCAUCCAUCCCUCUUUCCUAAUCUCAUAGGUUUUAAGGAACAUGGUGAAAUUUCCAUUUGUGGUCCCAAAUACUACUCUUAUAAAAUAUUAUUCUUCCCUCCUCAUCUCUACAUCCUUUCUCACUCUGGAUAAUAUAUUUUUAUCUAUAGGUCUUUGACAUGGGAUGUUAUUAGAGCUCCUGUUUGUUGCAUUGAUUAGAGUGUCAAAUUUUACAGAUCCAUUUACUGCUGUUCUUUGUUAUUACCUCUUUUGCUAUGCUUACUUUGGUUCAAAUUCAUUUGCAAUCAUUGUUUUUGUUAUUCUGAUCCUUGCUCAUCUGGACAAUUUUCUGGCCUUUAAUAUAAUUAUGAAAUGGGCUGAAAGAAUGAGUGUCUUUAUUAUCAAGGACCAGUUAAUUUGCUCCUCCAUUAAAUCUACUCAAAUCCUUGCACACAAAUAAUUUCCAUUAAAAACAACAGCUCACGUGUUCACUAGCCUAGUGCAAGGCUAUAUUUCCAUUCUCCAAUCUGUGCUAGCCUCCUGAAUCAUCUUCCUGUCUAAAACUGACCCCUCACCCCCAUCUUGCUUUCCCUUGUCAUGCUUCCACUGGAGACCAUGCCCAAUCCCAGACCUGCAUUGCAUAUGGGCUAAUUUACCUCUAAUCUCCAAACUGCCCCUGCCGGGCCUA
Molecule: long non-coding RNA, 2355 nt
Organism: Dermochelys coriacea (leatherback sea turtle)
Lineage: Eukaryota; Metazoa; Chordata; Testudines; Dermochelyidae
Exons: 4
Source: RefSeq, a predicted model, not a curated record